GGAUGAGUACAGUAUAGUAAGAUAUUUUGAAGAGGGGCCAUAGUCACAUAGCUUUGAUUACAGGAUAUUGUUAUAAUUAUUCUAUUAGUAUUGCUGCUAAAUUCUGCCUAUGCCUAAUUUAUAAAUUAAACAUUAUCAUAGUUCUGUAUUUGUAAGAAAACACAUAGUAUAUAUAGUGUUUGGUAUGAACCAUGGUUUCAGGCAUUCACUGGGGAUCUUGGAACAUAUCCCCCACACGUCAGGGGUGAUGACUGUAUGCAAGAAAAGACACUUUUUUUUUUUUUUAAAAGACGCUUUUCUUACAUGGGAUGGGACUCUCAUUAUUGCCACAGGUAGGCCCCAUCUGAUAUGUUGUUAGACUAAAAUGACAAUGGCUGACCUAGUCUUAAAAUAUCUGUGAUGGUUGCACUUUUGAAUGAAAAUAGGCACAGAAGACAUUCUUGUGGUGGGAGGUGGUCAUCAUAUCAUUUUCUCAAUACAGUUUUUAAAGCAGCAAAAACCCAGCUAUAUGCAUUUAAGAUUAGGUUGAAUAGGUCAGUCAGCACACAGAGGCUUUUGCCUGCUAAAGGUGAAAGCUACUGGAAGAUCAAUUUGAGUUAUCAAAUUGCCUCAUUUUAUCUGAAUAUUAGCUUAGGGGCAGGUUAUGGUAUUAGCUUAUAAAUGGGGCAUAAAGCCUGUUGUGAAGCCAGAGAAAUUCAUUCUGUAGAGGAAAUGCUAGAUUCAGGUUCAUGGUCAUCUAACUUGAAUAUGAAAUAAAAGGAUAUGCCUCUCUUGUUGAAAUGUAUCCAAUUGCAAGAAAGUUUAACAGCCCUCCCAAAAAAACUAUAGGAAUACCCAGCCUUCUGCCUCAUGUUGCGACAUCCAGAUAUAAACAGUCCCACAGAUGUCACUUCCUGCCUGGAGCCUUUCACAUACCACCUCCCGAUCCUCCCCCAAGCUGAAAGGAAUAGCUGCUCUCCUCAGAACUCCCUUGAGUGAUUAAACCCAACUAGU
Long non-coding RNA from Canis lupus familiaris (dog), 993 nucleotides. RefSeq lists it as uncharacterized. The record is from RefSeq and is a predicted model, not a curated record. The transcript is spliced from 3 exons. NCBI's taxonomy places the organism in Eukaryota, Metazoa, Chordata, Mammalia, Carnivora, Canidae.